Ictalurus furcatus (blue catfish) is the source of this 3353-nucleotide RNA transcript. RefSeq lists it as uncharacterized. NCBI's taxonomy places the organism in Eukaryota, Metazoa, Chordata, Actinopteri, Siluriformes, Ictaluridae. The transcript is spliced from 4 exons. The record is from RefSeq and is a predicted model, not a curated record.
AACGGCACGUAACGCCGACUGGCGCCAUGAACACACCGAGAUAAAUAUUUCAUCGCUUGUUAAACUACCUGCACGACACCUCAGCCGCGUGAUGAUGCUUCUCAGCCAAGUUCUCCAUAUCUGGGUUCUCUUUGCUUGACUUCACUCUCACACACACACACACACACACACACACACACACACACACACACACACACACACUUUUGCUGCUGUCCCAUGAUGACCUCAGUGGAGAUGAAUGAAGGGUUUUCCCCACACGCAGGAACAUCAGGAAUACUCCUCUGUCCAUCAGGACGGAUGGAUGCUGAUAAAACCGCUGAGAGUUUGGAGACGCCGGAUUGCGAGACGCCGAGGUGCAAGCUUUCCAAUGGUUACGUGGAGGUGCUGCUGGAUAUUAGCGAUGAAAUCUCUGUAAAAGAGCAGGAAGCUUACAAGAUUCCCGACCAGACAGGCUGGGAUGACGCUAUCCAGGGUUGGGGUCGGUGUUCCCCUUUUUCCUGCCUGUUUAUCGCACAACGAAAGAGCAAGAAGCUCAAACCGGAGAUCUCAGCCUCCCACUGUGUCCUUUGCACCGAUCUGAAAGACCUAAAGCUCUCGGAGAACCUUGUUCCCAGCCAUGCUGCUUCAGAAGCGCCCUAUGAGAUAUCUGAAGAGCCUUUGAGAAGCAGCGUUCCUCCACCUCUGGAACACCUAAACAGAACCCCAAGCACCAUUACUUCUACCUUAUCCUCAGAAGAAGAACCGUCCGAGUUCACUUUUAAGGAGACGAGCAUCACGAAAGACCUGCUUGGAAAUAAACUGCUGUUUGGGCCUGAACAGUACACACCUGACAAAAUUCGACCUCACCCACCUCGACCGGAUGCUCCGUGCCUGUUCCUGAAAGAUAGAAAUGUAGGAAAAGUGGCACUGCUUGGUCGAGUUAUGGUACUGCCACCGGUAGAAGUGCCAACAAAUCCAAAUGUUAAUCCAAAGAGCUUGAAUUGUUUAAAGAGGAGAGAAGAUAGCACCACAAGACCAGUUUUGGUUAGUGAGAAAACUGAUGGAGCUCAAGAAAAAGCGGUGGUUAUUUCUUAUUCCAGCCCAGUUGUAGGCACCUCCCAGGGAUCUCUUAUGUCCAAGCAAGGACCAACGCACUGCCAGUAUCACUUACUAUCUGCUUUAAGCAUCUCCAGAAAGUAUCAGAUUCCCAUCAACACCUUGGCAAAGACUCAACAUAGUGCCACCGCUCUCCUGGAACGAAAUCUCAGGCAGGAAGAGCUGAUCAGGUCACCUCUAAGGCACAACUCUGGGCACAGAUCGCGGUUAGGCCUCAAGGAUAAAAGUCUGAGAAGGGCAGAACCUGAGCUUCCGAUGCUUCUGGGCACCAGGGUCCAGAUUCCAGUGUCCACUCAGCGAUUACUGUAGCUGCUCCUCGUCGCCAUCCAGUGGACAUUAAAGUUGACUACAUGCUGAAAUGACGAUGUAUAUUCUCCUACUGGAAAUAACUUUUGCGCAUCGUUACUUCCGAACAGGCAUUUAACGUGUUCGGGUUUUACAGAUGAUCCGUUUUUAUAUCAGAAGCAACAACAAGAAGAAAAAAAAUGCUCAAAAUGUUUACAUUCAAUGCUGUGGAACGUCCACGAAACAGCAGGAGGAAGUGUGUGGACAGAGGACCGAACGGAGAGAUACUUUACAUGCAGAAGCACAUCGAAGGGUAAAACUGCGACACAAGCCUUCUGAAAGUACUGCCAAGAGGAAACUUGUCGAAACUGCAGUCAUAAACACACUCAUUCGGUGCAGAUCAGGUUUUUCAGGUCUUUCCGGAUUUCUUCUGACCAGGGCUGUUCAGGGUUUCCUUUAGCCCCUCACUUCCCCACUGAUAAACCAGGUGACUAAAUUAGACACGUCCAUUGUUGCGUGAACUCUUUGACGCUGCAUACGGAGUAUCGGGAUUAUAUCUGGAGAAGGAUUACACACAAACUGAAUUUAAGACACGGAGGGGAAAAAGAUUUCAAUCUGAAACCGCUUCAGGCGGUCCGAGACAUAUUUAUAUUCAUAUACACGCCUGACCGAUUAUCCAAACGGCCAAUCAUGUGUGAGCAGCAUAAUGCAUAAAGUCAUGCAUCUACACACCAUGAGCUUCAGCUAAUCUUCUCUAGAUUUUAUACAGAAUAGUGCGAACGACUGAGCCGUCAGAAAGGCUGCUCAAACCACGACGAGGGGAACCUGAUGAUUUCGUAGACCAUAUCCACCUCACGCUUGUGUGUUCGGAGGUGCUUUUCUGCUCAGCACGUUGGUAAAGAGCGGUUAUUUGAGUUACCGUAGCCUUCUUGUCAGCUCGAACCAGUCUGGUCGUUCUCAACAACCAGGCUGGAUGGAUGUUUUUUGUUUUUCACACCAUUCUGUGUAAAAAAAAUAAAUAAAUAAAAAACCCCAAACAAAUCCAAAAAAAACUAAACAGAAACCAGCUUUUCUGGGACCAAAAACCAUGUCAAUGAGAUCUCAUGUUUGAUACGAACAUCAGCUCCUUGACCUGUAUCUGUGUGAUUUUAUGAUCAUGAUUCGUUAUUGGUCACAUAUACAUUACAGCACAGUGAAAUUCUUUUCAUCACAUACCCCAGCAUGUUAGGAAGUUGGGGUUAGAGUGCAGGGUCAGCCAUGAUACAGCGCCCCCCCCGCGGAGCAGAGAGGGUUAAGGGUAAAGGUUAAGGGUAGCCUGGCAGUGCCGGGGCUUGAACCCUCGAGCUUCUGAUCAGUAACCCAGAGCCUUAACCGCCAAGCCACCACUGCCCCACGCUGAUGUCACAUGAUCAACUGGUUGUCACAUGAUGUGACAUGAUGAUCAUCAUGUCACAUGAUGAUCCAAACCAGGGUUUAACUGAAACUCUUCAGCAUCAAUCAGGACACUUUAUAUCAAUUGUGUUGAAUUCUGGAUUCUGAUUGGUCAGAAGGUGCUGAUUAGCCUUCUAUAAAAGCAGCUUGUUCUAAUGCGUUAUCGUUUCUAUAGUAACAACUACAAGAAUUUCUGUAAUGAUUUCUAUCGUUGUUGUUGUUUUCAGCAGGGAUGCAACGUUUUGAUACAAACAUAAUCACAAUGAUAAAUAGAACGGAAUAUGCAAAUUCGCCCAUGACGUCACCUGGUGAUUAUUAGACACUUUUUGAGCAAGAAUUGGCCCUUUCCCCUGAAAGUUGUUGACAACAAUAGUGGGAGAGUGUCAGCGUUAGCCGGCUAGCUUCUAGGUCUAGCUGGCGAAGUCCGGCCUGUCGGUUAAAUCUUUCUCAAAAACAUAUAUAUCUAUUUAAAUUAAAAACGAAGACGAAAAACAGGCCUCGAGCGUGUGUUUUGGUUGUGAGCGGGUGUAAGUACCUGGACU